UUUUUUUUAACUAAAAGGGACCCAAUUAAAUUAUCAAUGUUCCAUCCAAGGAAUAUAAGUUGUAAUAUCAUAACAAACGAUAUGAAAUCCAACCAUGCAACAGAAAGUAUUGCCAUAAACAUGAAAGCAUAAUUCUAAAGACUGUUAAAAAAAAAAAAAAAAAGGGAUCUAAAGACAUUGCUUAAAGAGAAAAACCUUGCAGAGGGGCAAAUUUUGCCAGAAUUUCUGAUUCACGCUUUAAUGCAUUUUUCUUUUUCAGCUCCAAUUCUGGCAAUCUGGAGUUGGCCAGCUGAAUCUCAUUCACUACUUUGGGAAUAGCAUUUGCCACCAUCUUCUGAGCAUAAGUCACCUCAACCUUUGCUUCC
Molecule: unclassified non-coding RNA, 365 nt
Filed under: Hevea brasiliensis (rubber tree)
Lineage: Eukaryota; Viridiplantae; Streptophyta; Magnoliopsida; Malpighiales; Euphorbiaceae
Source: RNAcentral